UCCCGGAUGGCGCAGUGGUUAACGCUCCUGCCUAGUAAGCUGGAGAUCGCGAGUUCGAAUCCCGGUCCGGGAC
Schistocerca serialis cubense is the source of this 73-nucleotide non-coding RNA. NCBI's taxonomy places the organism in Eukaryota, Metazoa, Arthropoda, Insecta, Orthoptera, Acrididae. The record is from the annotation of a RefSeq genome assembly.